UAUGCCUAGCCAUAAACAUUGAUAGAAUUUUACACCCUCUAUCCGCCUGGGUACUACGAGCAUUAGCUUGAAACCCAAAGGACUUGGCGGUACUUUAGAUCCCCCUAGAGGAGCCUGUUCUAUAACCGAUGACCCCCGUUCAACCUCACCCUCCCUUGUUUUUCCCGCCUAUAUACCGCCGUCGUCAGCUUACCCUGUGAAGGUCUAAUAGUAAGCAAAAUUGGCACCGCCCAGAACGUCAGGUCGAGGUGUAGCGCAUGAGAGGGGAAGAAAUGGGCUACAUUCGCUAACGUAGCGAAUACGAACGAUGUACUGAAAAUAUACAUCUGAAGGAGGAUUUAGCAGUAAGUGGAAAAUAGAGUGUCCCACUGAAACCGGCUCUGAAGUGCGUACACACCGCCCGUCACUCUCCCCAAGCUCACUAUUCAACGUAACUAAAACACUUUAACCGCGAAGGGGAGGCAAGUCGUAACAUGGUAAGUGUACUGGAA
RNAcentral lists this ribosomal RNA (491 nucleotides) under Gasterochisma melampus (butterfly kingfish). RNAcentral's name for it is "partial 12S ribosomal RNA". It matches the Rfam family "Bacterial small subunit ribosomal RNA", at positions 791 to 1510 of the family's 1533-position model. Lineage: Eukaryota; Metazoa; Chordata; Actinopteri; Scombriformes; Scombridae. The record is from RNAcentral.